GACGAACGCUGGCGGCGUGCUUAACACAUGCAAGUCGAACGGGCCUUGUCCCCUUUUUUUUGGGGGUGGGGUUAGUGGCGAACGGGUGAGUAACACGUGAGUAACCUGCCCCUCACUUCUGGAUAACCGCUUGAAAGGGUGGCUAAUACGGGGUGUUCUGGCCUGCUCGCAUGGGUGGGUUUGGAAAGAUUCGACCGGUUUUGGUUGUUUUGGUGGGGGAUGGGCUCACGGCCUAUCAGCUUGUUGGUGGGGUGAUGGCCUGCCAAGGCUUUGACGGGUAGCCGGCCUGAGAGGGUGGGCGGUCACACUGGGACUGAGACACGGCCCAGACUCCUACGGGAGGCAGCAGUGGGGAAUAUUGCACAAUGGGCGCAAGCCUGAUGCAGCGACGCCGCGUGAGGGAUGGAGGCCUUCGGGUUGUGAACCUCUUUCGCCAGUGAAGAAGGUCCUGCUCUUUGUGGUGGGGUUGACGGUAGCUGGGUUAAUGAAGCGCCGGCUAACUACGUG
RNAcentral lists this ribosomal RNA (507 nucleotides) under uncultured bacterium. RNAcentral describes it as "partial 16S ribosomal RNA". It matches the Rfam family "Bacterial small subunit ribosomal RNA", at positions 28 to 507 of the family's 1533-position model. The record is from RNAcentral.